This 23-nucleotide transfer RNA is filed under the name Epiplatys annulatus (clown killifish). RNAcentral's name for it is "partial tRNA-Glu". The record is from RNAcentral. Lineage: Eukaryota; Metazoa; Chordata; Actinopteri; Cyprinodontiformes; Nothobranchiidae.
UUAAAAUUUUUGUAGUUGAAUGA